Chinchilla lanigera (long-tailed chinchilla) is the source of this 2722-nucleotide long non-coding RNA. RefSeq lists it as uncharacterized. The record is from RefSeq and is a predicted model, not a curated record. Lineage: Eukaryota; Metazoa; Chordata; Mammalia; Rodentia; Chinchillidae. The transcript is spliced from 3 exons.
CCAUUUUUUCUAGGCAAAUGUCUCCUAAUUUGUUGGACUUACUACACCUCAUUAAUAUAAUAAUAUACUAUAUUUUCUAUAAUUUUCUACUAAUAUGCCAUGCUUUAGAUGAAGAGCCAAGCUCCUCUCACUGUGGUUCCAGGGCUUGGGGUGGUGAAUGUCUGGCUUCUCUUACCUUACGGUUGGUCUGAGGCUCAAUUAGGAUGUGGUUCUUUGUUUUUACUUCACAGCGGUAAUCAGCAGUAAUAAUAUAUUAUCCUCUUUAUUGUUUUCAGGUAUUAAGUAUAUACCAUAUGGAAACAUCAACAAGUGUGAAACUUCAACAAUUAAGAAAAGACAUGGUUCUUGCUGUGGCAGAAGGCAUUUUGAAAUGAACUGUAACAUAAAUAUGCUUUAACCUUGGGAGCCAGUCUUAGCAUUGCAUUCAAGUUCUGACUUUAUUUGUGUCUCCCUAGGUGAGUUACUUACCUUUCCUAAGCCUGCAUUUCCUCAUUUAUAGACAAAGAUAGUGAGUACAUACAACAGGCAGGAAUAAUGGGAUGCAGUAUGUAAAUCAAAGACAUAGUCCAAAUAAGUAUAAGCUUUCAUUAUUAUAUCAACAUGGGAAGGAAUCAUUAUGAAGGUUACAGUAGGAUUAUAAAGGAAUUGAGUAACUAAAUGCAUAUAAAUCAGGACACUUCCAUCAAAAAUGAAAAACUGCACAUAGAACAUACACAUCUGCAAGUGUAGCACAUCAUAUAUAUAUUUUACUAUACUUUGAAAGUGCUUUUCCUUUUGCUAACAGCAUGGCCUUUGUGAAAAUGGAAUAAAGUAGUUAAUUCUUUGGAGAAGGCCUUGGGAUUCCUCCAGUGUCUUAGAUUCAAAUUCAGACCUGGUUCUUCUGAGCUGGACCAUUAGUAUGACUUGGGUCUGUAUGCUGGAGUUGUCUUACUGGAAUCUCAGGUUGGUGCAGAGGGAGAGAUUCCAUUAACUGACUCUUUCUCUCCUAGUAAAGGUACAUUUGUCAGCAUCAUAAAUCCCGUGUUCUUCUUACUCAUACACUUAUGCUUAGGACAAUGUGGAGGCUUCACAUAUCAACUUCAGACAACAUACAGGAGAUAGUGUUGAUAAUCUUCAGGAAGAGAAGAUUUAAGCCAGUGACCAGACCACAGCACCUGAGAUUUCCAGCAAUGCAUUAUUUAAUUGUAAAAUUAAAGAUCUUCGAAGAAAAAGCGAAAAUGCGAUCCUGUUGGCAAUUUAUAAAACCACUUUCCCCUCGUUUGAUUCUACAACCCUGUGAUGUUGAAGGUGAAGGGAAUUAUUCCUAAAUAUUGUCAAAAGAUUCCAAGACCCUGUAUAUUGAGAAAGCCCCACUGUACAUAUUAGCAAUCUGAGGUACAGAGACGUUAAGCAAGGAAAAGACGGAAGCCAAGUUUUCUGGUGCCAAAUCUCAUCCCUUUCCACAAGACUACUUCACUUACCCUUGAGAAGCUUUUCUUUCCUUCAUCGCUCUUUAGGGUUUUUGAGAGACCACCGACUCAGAUAUUGACCCACCGAGAAAGCACUAACCCACUAAUGGCUGUGUAAGUGGUGUUUCUUGAGGACCUGUAAGCUGAUUAGAGACCAUUUAGUCAUAAUACAGAGUAAGGGGAAGGCAGAGGAACAGAGAUGGGUGGAAUCUUCUGUCACCAGCCACUAAGUUACAUCUAUUUAUAUUGCACCAGAGCUUAACAGCUCACUUAAGAAUGCUAAAGAUUAAUCUCACUCUUAGGAGCAUGCCAGUAAAAUCUUCACUUGGCAAAGCUAAAAGUGUUUUGGCUUUCGUUUCUUCAAGGCCAUGUAUCAUCGAUUUUUGUGUCUGAUUCGAAAGAGCCAAUUGAGCUCUUAAAAAGCAUCCAAGGAUUUAGAAUCUAGUACAUUUUUAAUGAGUGGUUGUUUAAAGCUUGUGGAAACACAGCUUCAGAGACUUUCAAUUUACCAACAGUGGUGAGUGUACAAUCCAUCUCUUCUUGGCUGAAUUCUGUGAAUGGAAAAUCCUUGGUUAAUUCUUAGGACACAUUUUGGAGAAAGGGAUGGGUGCCAAAGAUCAGUCUCAAUCCAUCAAUUUCCUUAUGGCCCCACACAAAUACAAAGUGAGGCCAUAUUUUAGAAAGACUCUUGAUAACAUGACGUCACCAAAGUUGGGUUCUUAAGCCAGUUUUUGGCCACAUCAGUCUGACUUCUUAUUUAAAAUGAAAAAUAACUGGGAAGAAAACUAAAUAGAGCUAGGAGGUCUGGUGGCAGUCUUUGCUCAGUAACUUGUCAUUGGUGUCACCUGGGAUGAUUCACCUAACUCCUUUAAAUUUCACUUUCCCAACAGUGAAAUUGUAUUAGUAGUAGCCCUGACGACCGCUGAGAGUUUUGUGGACACUGAGACGUACACAUGUGAAAUCUCUUUGUAAAGUGGAAGAUACUGUGUGAACAUGGGAAUCGGUAACUUUGGUCACUGGAAAACAUUAUUUGGAAGGAAUAAAGAAGACUUUGGAAAUUCUGUCUUGUUCUCAAGAGUUUCAGUUGAUUAUACUUAGGAUAAGUUAUUUAUCCAUCAUCUUCUUCACCUGGAAAACAUUGUCUAGAAAAUGAUAGAUAAUUAGUUAACAUUUAUUAAAUGAAAAGUAGAUAAAGGGAAAUAUUGCUUUCUUUAUUUACCAGGGAAUAAACCAAGAAGAUUGCUUUGAACAAAACAGACUUCAAUUCCUCUUAC